AAAACGACUCUCGGCAACGGAUAUCUCGGCUCUCGCAUCGAUGAAGAACGUAGCGAAAUGCGAUACUUGGUGUGAAUUGCAGAAUCCCGCGAACCAUCGAGUCUUUGAACGCAAGUUGCGCCCGAAGCCUUCCGGCCGAGGGCACGCCUGCCUGGGUGUCAUGC
This 164-nucleotide ribosomal RNA is filed under the name Turnera melochioides. RNAcentral describes it as "5.8S ribosomal RNA". It matches the Rfam family "5.8S ribosomal RNA". From Rfam's summary of the family: 5.8S ribosomal RNA (5.8S rRNA) is a component of the large subunit of the eukaryotic ribosome. It is transcribed by RNA polymerase I as part of the 45S precursor that also contains 18S and 28S rRNA. Functionally, it is thought that 5.8S rRNA may be involved in ribosome translocation. Lineage: Eukaryota; Viridiplantae; Streptophyta; Magnoliopsida; Malpighiales; Passifloraceae. The record is from RNAcentral.